AGGGCAGCUACCCAGCAAUGGGAUGCGAAUCUCGAAAGCCUGUCUCAGUUCGGAUUGGAGGCUGAAACCCGCCUCCAUGAAGUUGGAUUCGCUAGUAAUCGCGCAUCAGCCAUGGCGCGGUGAAUACGUUCCCGGGCCUUGUACACACCGCCCGUCAAGCCAUGGGAGCCGGGGGGUGCCUGAAGUUCGUGACCGCAAGGAGCGACCUAGGGCAAAACUGGUGACUGGGGCUAAGUCGUAACAAGGUACC
This 250-nucleotide ribosomal RNA is filed under the name uncultured bacterium. Its description in RNAcentral is "partial 16S ribosomal RNA". It matches the Rfam family "Bacterial small subunit ribosomal RNA", at positions 1243 to 1500 of the family's 1533-position model. The record is from RNAcentral.